AGAUUGAACGCUGGCGGCAGGCCUAACACAUGCAAGUCGAGCGGCAGCACGGGUACUUGUACCUGGUGGCGAGCGGCGGACGGGUGAGUAAUGCCUAGGAAUCUGCCUGAUAGUGGGGGAUAACGUUCGGAAACGGACGCUAAUACCGCAUACGUCCUACGGGAGAAAGUGGGGAUCUUCGGACCUCACGCUAUCAGAUGACGCCUAGGUCGAUUAGCUAGUUGGUAGGGUAAAGCCUACCAAGGCUACGAUCCGUAACUGGUACUGAGAGGAUGAUACGAGUCACACUGGAACUGAGACACGGUCCAGACCUACCGUACGGGACGCAGUACGAGGU
This 337-nucleotide ribosomal RNA is filed under the name uncultured soil bacterium. RNAcentral describes it as "bacterial SSU rRNA". It matches the Rfam family "Bacterial small subunit ribosomal RNA", at positions 26 to 362 of the family's 1533-position model. The record is from RNAcentral.